GAGGAGUUGGUGAACAGCAGGAUGGAUGGGAUGUCAGUCAGCUGUGCCCCUGGCUACCCCUGUGCUUGAACAGUGGACUGUGAGUGGCGGCGUCAUGCAGAAGGAGCACAGGGUCCCAGGCCAGCAUCACUAUCCAGGAGCUUCAGGCAUGCUCCGUGUACCAACAUGGGAUCACGAAUCACAUCGCCUCAGGCCAAGAAAGCCAUUUUAUAGCGAAAGAGCCUUAGGAUCUGCUGGAUUAGAGCCUGUUUCCCAGGUAGGAACGCUUCCACGAGGGCACUCCUGCUGGUUGCAGGAAGGAUACCUCUGCUGAGCCUGAAUCUGCAAAGACCACCAGGUUACUCUCAGCUCCUCAUACUGGUGGACCAGCAGGCCACAAAGGAGGGGAUACUUGAUCCUGAUAAACGGUUAUGCUUGUUUGCUGAUGGAAAUGAUCCAGAAGAGAAGGACAAGUUGACGAUUGAGAGGGUUAAUGUCAGCCACCGUCUCGAGCUCAGCUUCAACCAUGGCCCUCCCCACAGGGCUCCAUCCCAAGCCAGAGCGGGUCAGUUCCCUACACAGGGCCCAGCAACACGGUGCCCAAGAAAAAGUGUUUCCAGUGGGACGCAUGUCG
Molecule: long non-coding RNA, 613 nt
Filed under: Homo sapiens (human)
Lineage: Eukaryota; Metazoa; Chordata; Mammalia; Primates; Hominidae
Description: non-protein coding CHKB-DT:56
Source: RNAcentral